UACAGAGGGUGCGAGCGUUAAUCGGAUUUUACUGGGCGUAAAGCGUACGUAGGCGGCUUUUUAAGUCGGAUGUGAAAUCCCUGAGCUUAACUUAGGAAUUGCAUUCGAUACUGGUUGGCUAGAGUAUGGGAGAGGAUGGUAGAAUUCCAGGUGUAGCGGUGAAAUGCGUAGAGAUCUGGAGGAAUACCGAUGGCGAAGGCAGCCAUCUGGCCUAAUACUGACACUGAGGCACGAAAGCAUGGGGAGCAAACAGG
Molecule: ribosomal RNA, 254 nt
Filed under: uncultured Acinetobacter sp.
Lineage: Bacteria; Pseudomonadati; Pseudomonadota; Gammaproteobacteria; Moraxellales; Moraxellaceae
Description: partial 16S ribosomal RNA
Rfam family: Bacterial small subunit ribosomal RNA
Source: RNAcentral